This 497-nucleotide ribosomal RNA is filed under the name uncultured bacterium. RNAcentral's name for it is "partial 16S ribosomal RNA". It matches the Rfam family "Bacterial small subunit ribosomal RNA", at positions 28 to 507 of the family's 1533-position model. The record is from RNAcentral.
GAUGAACGCUGGCGGCGUGCCUAAUACAUGCCAGUCGAGCGAACAGACGAGGAGCUUGCUCCUCUGACGUUAGCGGCGGACGGGUGAGUAACACGUGGAUAACCUACCUAUAAGACUGGGAUAACUUCGGGAAACCGGAGCUAAUACCGGAUAAUAUAUUGAACCGCAUGGUUCAAUAGUGAAAGACGGUUUUGCUGUCACUUAUAGAUGGAUCCGCGCCACAUUAGCUAGUUGGUAAGGUAACGGCUUACCAAGGCAACGAUGCGUAGCCGACCUGAGAGGGUGAUCGGCCACACUGGAACUGAGACACGGUCCAGACUCCUACGGGAGGCAGCAGUAGGGAAUCUUCCGCAAUGGGCGAAAGCUUGACGGAGCAACGCCGCGUGAGUGAUGAAGGUCUUCGGAUCGUAAAACUCUGUUAUUAGGGAAGAACAAAUGUGUAAGUAACUAUGCACGUCUUGACGGUACCUAAUCAGAAAGCCACGGCUAACUACGUG